This 465-nucleotide ribosomal RNA is filed under the name Vreelandella stevensii. RNAcentral's name for it is "partial 16S ribosomal RNA". It matches the Rfam family "Bacterial small subunit ribosomal RNA", at positions 338 to 795 of the family's 1533-position model. Lineage: Bacteria; Pseudomonadati; Pseudomonadota; Gammaproteobacteria; Oceanospirillales; Halomonadaceae. The record is from RNAcentral.
CCUACGGGAGGCAGCAGUGGGGAAUAUUGGACAAUGGGCGAAAGCCUGAUCCAGCCAUGCCGCGUGUGUGAAGAAGGCCUUCGGGUUGUAAAGCACUUUCAGUGGGGAAGAAAGCCUUGGGGCUAAUACCCUCGAGGAAGGACAUCACCCACAGAAGAAGCACCGGCUAACUCCGUGCCAGCAGCCGCGGUAAUACGGAGGGUGCGAGCGUUAAUCGGAAUUACUGGGCGUAAAGCGCGCGUAGGCGGUCUGAUAAGCCGGUUGUGAAAGCCCCGGGCUCAACCUGGGAACGGCAUCCGGAACUGUCAGGCUAGAGUGCAGGAGAGGAAGGUAGAAUUCCCGGUGUAGCGGUGAAAUGCGUAGAGAUCGGGAGGAAUACCAGUGGCGAAGGCGACCUUCUGGACUGACACUGACGCUGAGGUGCGAAAGCGUGGGUAGCAAACAGGAUUAGAUACCCUUGUAGUC